Molecule: ribosomal RNA, 2703 nt
Filed under: Triticum aestivum (bread wheat)
Lineage: Eukaryota; Viridiplantae; Streptophyta; Magnoliopsida; Poales; Poaceae
Description: partial small subunit ribosomal RNA
Source: RNAcentral
AUGGGUCCAGCAAAAGGUUCUCGCACAAUCCACAAGAUCACAAUAAAAAGACACGAGGAUCGACAGCAUCAUGAGGAUCCAACUAGUUCAAGCAAUGUGAAACUUAAAAUUUCUCAGAAGAGGAAGAGGUCAGACUUAGAUCCCCACUGGAACAGGGAUGAGCUGAUGCACUUUUAUGGAGCCUACCGGCGGCAUGGAAAGAAUUGGAAAAAGAUCAGUGCAGUAGUUGGCAGCAAAUCGGCAGACACUGUAGAAGCUCUUUACUAUGUGCAUCGGACUUUCUUAUCUCUUCCGGAGUGUGAAGGUACUGCCAGGGGAUUUAUUGCAUUGGCUGCUGGUCAUGACAAUGCUUUGGAAUCUCCAAGUCAAAGAGAAACUGAUCAGAUGGUUACAUCAUCUGGGAAGGGACGGAGACGUGGAGAAGCUGCGUGGCAAAAAGAGAAUGCAGCACCUAACCCUCACAACGCCUUCACAAAUCAGGAAAUGAGAAUUGCUGGCUUUACAUCUUCUUUCAAGAAAAGAUACCAUGGAGGCAAGUAUUGCAAGGCAAAUAUGCCAUGUCCUUUUGGUUCCCUUAAACGUAGUUUUGAUAGUUUCAUGUUCUUUUUAUUUUCAGAACUUGUCAGGUACAUCAGUAGACAUCCUGUUCGGAAACGUACUCCUCGUGUACCAGUUUUACUUCCUUUGGACAUCAAUUCUACAAACAAGGCUAAUGAAGAGAUAAAUAAUGAUGGAAGCUCUCCUGAUGGAAGUUCAGGAAUCACUGAAGCAAAGGUUGUUCAGGGCCAGACUUUCUUGGAAAUCAAAGGAACUGAAGAUACUGAGAUAUCUCAGUCCCAGCAACAUUUAAAUUUGAAGAAGAGAAGGAUUCAGCAAAGCAUGGACGAAGGCCAGACCAGCAAAGUUGAGCCUGGUACCACGAUGGUGGCUGAAAAAGAAGGGCAUAACUUAUCUGAUUAUGAGAGACUUAGUCGGUUAUUUUCUCCAGAGGAGAUGAUGGUCUUAGAUGUGUUGGAGAGUCUGGUGACUGUGCCCAAUGAAACGUCACAGGCCAAGAUUAAUAGUCCUUCAGGUACAUGUGGAAAGAUAAUUUCUGCAUCAUGUAACACACAGGAGGAAGGGCUUUCUCCUGUCGAUCAAUCUAAACAAACGAAGCAAGAUAGUGAUUCCAGUGCUUCAGAGGAAAGGAAAAAAAGGAGAAAGAAGUUACCAGAUGAAGAGGUGCUGGCUGAAGAACAAAUCAGUUCUGGUAAUACUUCAGUUAUACCACAAGCAUGUCAGCUUGAUGCCACGGAGCAGCCCUCCUUGAAUUCUGACUUUGAGAAAGAAGCAAUAGAUAUACCUGAAUCAACUGCAAAUAUUUGUGCUGAAGUAUCCCCUGAUGCACCGAUGGAAAUUGACCCUCAAAUAAAUAUGUCAAGGAAGAGCAAAAGAAAAUCCAAAGUACAAUGCAAAAAAAACUAUGUGUUUUGCAAUGAAGGUGCCGAUAAUUUACAGGCAAAGAAAUUGCUGCAUUGCUUGUCAUCUGAAUCACUUCGUAGAUGGUGUACAUACGAGUGGUUCUACAGCGCAGUUGAUUAUCCAUGGUUUAUGAAUAAUGAAUUUGUGAACUACUUAAAUUUUGCAAAAUUGAGCCAUCUUUCAAGGCUCACUCGAUCUGAGUGGAGCACAAUCCGAAGUUCUCUCGGCAAGCCCCGUCGCUUUUCCAAUCAUUUCCUGGCAGUAGAAAAGGAAAAACUUGAGGAUUAUCGACAAAACGUUAGGAAAUACUAUGCUGAACUAAGUGAUGGCUUGCGGGAUUCUCUACCAACAGACCUUGCUCGGCCUUUUUCAGUUGGCCAGCAUGUCAUUGUUCGUCACCCGAGUACCAGAGAACUUGCUGAUGGUAAAGUGGUAAUCAUGGAGCGGGAUUGUUACAAGGUCCAGUUUGAUAGCCCUGAUCUAGGUGUUGAUAUAAUUAAGGACACUGAUUGUAUGCCUGUAAACUGGUUGGAUAAUCUGCCUGACGAUCUCAAGAAGAGGAGCUCCCUCUCAAAUAAUGCACACCGCAAACCGGAUUUUGAGCACAUUCCGGAGCUUACUUCAAAGGAGAGCUGGGGUAAUAUCAUGAAUGACAUUUCCGUACCUGAGUCGUCCAGUAGUCGACAGGCUUCAUCUUCUGUGGGCGGUGAACUGCUACCCAGCAAGAGUACCACCAUUUGUAGAUCUACACUGCCACCAUUCCACCCACUCCAGUCCGCCGCCGACAGUUUACAAUCAAGGGGUCGCUCAAACAACAACAGUGGUCAGAGUGAUGAACUGGAUUCUCAUGUUACUGCAUUUGUCCAGAAAUCGCUUAAACAAGCCAAACAGAUGGUUGGUGAAGUCAUGCAGGCAAGCUAUGGAAAUGGUAAUGAAUCUGGGGAAGAAGCAACACCAUGUAUAAGCCUGGAAUCUGAGUCUACUCUUGAUGAUGCCCAGCUUCCAUCCACCCUGAUAGAGAACUGUGUUGCUACAGUUAUUGCAAUCAAGGAGCUGAGCGAGCAUCGGCACCCGCCUGCCAAGAUAGCAGGUGUGCUGGAGCGUGCUUUUUCGAUGCUGCGCCCAAGCUGUCCAGAGAACCUCGCGAUCUACAGCGAGAUAGAGAGCUACAUCGCCGUCGUCAAGAGCCAGAUACUAGCACUUGUGCCAACAACAUCUGGCAAUGCAGCUCUGGCAAUGUAG